RNAcentral lists this ribosomal RNA (440 nucleotides) under uncultured Sphingomonas sp. RNAcentral describes it as "bacterial SSU rRNA". It matches the Rfam family "Bacterial small subunit ribosomal RNA", at positions 338 to 795 of the family's 1533-position model. Lineage: Bacteria; Pseudomonadati; Pseudomonadota; Alphaproteobacteria; Sphingomonadales; Sphingomonadaceae. The record is from RNAcentral.
CCUACGGGCGGCUGCAGUGGGGAAUAUUGGACAAUGGGCGAAAGCCUGAUCCAGCAAUGCCGCGUGAGUGAUGAAGGCCUUAGGGUUGUAAAGCUCUUUUACCCGGGAAGAUAAUGACUGUACCGGGAGAAUAAGCCCCGGCUAACUCCGUGCCAGCAGCCGCGGUAAUACGGAGGGGGCUAGCGUUGUUCGGAAUUACUGGGCGUAAAGCGUACGUAGGCGGCUUGGUAAGUUAGAGGUGAAAGCCUGGGGCUCAACCCCAGAAUUGCCUUUAAGACUGCCUCGCUUGAACGUCGGAGAGGUGAGUGGAAUUCCGAGUGUAGAGGUGAAAUUCGUAGAUAUUCGGAAGAACACCAGUGGCGAAGGCGGCUCACUGGACGACUGUUGACGCUGAGGUACGAAAGCGUGGGGAGCAAACAGGCUUAGAUACCCCUGUAGUC